UGGAAGUAAAAGUCGUAACAAGGUUUCCGUAGGUGAACCUGCGGAAGGAUCAUUAACGAAUUUAAUUAUCAUCUUAUUAUGUGAACUUUUAAUCCCUUUGUGGAUUAGAAAUGCUUCGGUGCUGGGUAAAAAUUUAUAUUUUUACCAGGCGCCGGUAGAAAACUCAUUUAAACUUUAUGUCUAAACUAAAAAUUUUAAUAAAUUAAAACUUUCAACAACGGAUCUCUAGGUUCUCGCAUCGAUGAAGAACGCAGCGAAAUGCGAUACGUAUUGUGAAUUGCAGAUUUUUGUGAAUCAUCGAAUCUUUGAACGCACAUUGCACCUGGUGGUAUUCCGCCAGGUAUGCCUGUUUGAGCGUCAUUUCUCUCUCACUCCGGUGGUUUUGCUGUUUAUCAUUUUUUCGGAAAUGUACAGUGAAAAGAAAUGGCAAGGCUCUAGUUCUUACGAAAUGUUUUAGGUUCUACCAACUACAUUCUCUAAGUUCUAAUAAAGUCGGCUUGAUAAUUCUUUCAAUGUUGACCUCAAAUCAGGUAGGACUACCCGCUGAACUUAAGCAUAUCAAUAAGCGGAGGAA
This 574-nucleotide unclassified non-coding RNA is filed under the name Blastobotrys arbuscula. Its description in RNAcentral is "sequence contains 18S rRNA gene, ITS1, 5.8S rRNA gene, ITS2, 28S rRNA gene". The stretch from base 207 to 360 matches the Rfam family "5.8S ribosomal RNA". Lineage: Eukaryota; Fungi; Ascomycota; Dipodascomycetes; Dipodascales; Trichomonascaceae. The record is from RNAcentral.